This 501-nucleotide ribosomal RNA is filed under the name uncultured bacterium. Its description in RNAcentral is "partial 16S ribosomal RNA". It matches the Rfam family "Bacterial small subunit ribosomal RNA", at positions 30 to 523 of the family's 1533-position model. The record is from RNAcentral.
AUUGAACGCUGGCGGCAGGCUUAACACAUGCAAGUCGAGCGGGGGAAGGUAGCUUGCUACCGGACCUAGCGGCGGAUGGGUGAGUAAUGCUUAGGAAUCUGCCUAUUAGUGGGGGACAACAUCUCGAAAGGGAUGCUAAUACCGCAUAUGUCCUACGGGAGAAAGCAGGGGAUCUUCGGACCUUGCGCUAAUAGAUGAGCCUAAGUCGGAUUAGCUAGUUGGUGGGGUAAAGGCCUACCAAGGCGACGAUCUGUAGCGGGUCUGAGAGGAUGAUCCGCCACACUGGGGCGGAGACACGGCCCAGACUCCUGCGGGGGGCAGCAGUGGGGAAUAUUGGACAAUGGGGGGAACCCUGAUCCAGCCAUGCCGCGUGUGUGAAGAAGGCCUUAUGGUUGUAAAGCACUUUAAGCGAGGAGGAGGCUCUUUUGGUUAAUACCCAAGAUGAGUGGACGUUACUCGCAGAAUAAGCACCGGCUAACUCUGUGCCAGCAGCCGCCGUAA